CCUACGGGUGGCAGCAGUGGGGAAUAUUGGACAAUGGGCGCAAGCCUGAUCCAGCAAUGCCGCGUGUGUGAAGAAGGCCUGCGGGUUGUAAAGCACUUUAAGCAGGAAAGAAGGGCGGAGCGAUAAUACCGUUUCGCAUUGACGUUACCUGCAGAAUAAGCACCGGCUAACUCCGUGCCAGCAGCCGCGGUAAUACGGAGGGUACGAGCGUUACGUGGAAUUACUGGGGGUAAAUCGCGCGUAGGCGGGUGAACGCCCUGGGCUUAACCUGGGAACUGCGGUGGAUACUGUCGGGCUAGAGUGUGGUAGAGGGGAGUGGAAUUUCCGGUGUAGCAGUGAAAUGCGUAGAGAUCGGAAGGAACACCAGUGGCGAAGGCGGCUCCCUGGACCAACACUGACGCUGAGGUGCGAAAGCGUGGGGAGCAAACAGGAUUAGAUACCCUUGUAGUC
RNAcentral lists this ribosomal RNA (450 nucleotides) under uncultured bacterium. RNAcentral describes it as "partial 16S ribosomal RNA". It matches the Rfam family "Bacterial small subunit ribosomal RNA", at positions 338 to 795 of the family's 1533-position model. The record is from RNAcentral.